GUCCGAGGGAUCUCACGCCGGAGAUGCUAAAGUCCAUUCACGAUGCCGAUAAGCCUGCUCCGAGAGGCAAAAAGGCAGAUAAAGGCAAACANAGAUGCUAAAGUCCAUUCACGAUGCCGAUAAGCCUGCUCCGAGAGGCAAAAAGGUAGAUAAAGGCAAACAAGUGGCAAAAGGGGCUAAAGGCCCUUCUCCUAAAAAGAGGAAAUCUACCAAAGCUGCUCAGUCACCGCAACAGAAUAGGCGAAAGACUCAACCCAAGCGAAAGCUCAUUAUCGCUUCCUCUUCCAGUGAGUCGGAGGGUGGGAGUUCGGAUUCGGACGACUCUCCAAGAGGCAACACACCUCCAAGAGGCGACACCCCACCUAGAUCACCUACCCCUGAAAUGGAAAUCCAUACCUCUCCAAUUCCCUCUCCUACUCAAACAAUUCCUACUUCCAUUCCCACCAUAAACCCCUUUACUCACAUACCAAAAACCUCUUUCCCAAUGCCACCACCCAUCUUCACCGAUGCAACAACAACAUCUACAGCAAAGGUUACAACCAACGUAUCUGAUACGGGGGUUCAUACCGAUGCAACCAACCUCCACCAGCAACCG
RNAcentral lists this long non-coding RNA (595 nucleotides) under Lactuca sativa (garden lettuce). RNAcentral's name for it is "long non-coding RNA (LSAT_LNC005769)". The record is from RNAcentral. Lineage: Eukaryota; Viridiplantae; Streptophyta; Magnoliopsida; Asterales; Asteraceae.